RNAcentral lists this ribosomal RNA (438 nucleotides) under uncultured eukaryote. RNAcentral describes it as "bacterial SSU rRNA". It matches the Rfam family "Eukaryotic small subunit ribosomal RNA", at positions 94 to 521 of the family's 1831-position model. The record is from RNAcentral.
UGGCUCAUUAAAUCAGCCACAAUUUAUUAGACCAUACACAGUUACUUGGAUAACUGUGGGAAUUCUAGAGCUAAUACAUGCCGAGAGUCUCUAAUCUUCGGGUUAGAGCGCAAUUAUUAGACCAAAACUAACCAGUUCUUUUAGGACUGAAAAAUUGGUGACUCUAGAUAACUUUCUGCUGAUCGCAUCUGGCCUUUGAGCCGGUGACGUAUCUUUCAAGUGGCUGACCUAUCAACUUUCGAUGGUAGGGUAAAUGCCUACCAUGGUGAUAACGGGUAACAGGGAAUCAGGGUUUGAUUCCGGAGAGGGAGCCUGAGAAAUGGCUACCACAUCCAAGGAUGGCAGCAGGCGCGCAAAUUACCCACUCCCAGUUCGGGGAGGUAGUGACGAAAAAUAACAAUGCGGGACUCUAAGAGGCCCCGUAAUUGGAAUGAGAAC